Long non-coding RNA from Vicia villosa (hairy vetch), 2937 nucleotides. RefSeq lists it as uncharacterized. NCBI's taxonomy places the organism in Eukaryota, Viridiplantae, Streptophyta, Magnoliopsida, Fabales, Fabaceae. The record is from RefSeq and is a predicted model, not a curated record. The transcript is spliced from 6 exons.
GUUCAAACACCUAAUAUGGCGCAAGGAAACUUUUUUAGUUAGAAAUGAAAACAGUAUUAGAGAUCCAUCUAUAAGCAAAGUUACGCGCUUUAUAGUGUAAAGUGAGUAUUAUCAACAAUUGAUUGACAAAUCAAAUAUGAGUAUUGCAUGUGCGUCAUGAUAAAUCAUGAAAGUGCACAAAAAUCAUUUCUUGAUUUUCUCUCUUUACACUUUAUUUACGAAAGAUGAAUCCAAAUCUUUUAGAAUUUGGAUACAAUAGUCAACUACUGGACUUCAAUGCGCUGAAGCUUCAAUUACAAUAGAUACUAAUUUUACCUUCAUUUCCUCAAUCAAGGGAGGGAAUCCCCCAAUAAGUGUCAUGAAAGUCAGGACAGACAUCAGAAAUGAAAGUAGUGAUCCUCUGACCUAAUGCAUUCCACAUACGAGAAAACAAUUACAGUUCAAAUUUAUAAAUCACGGGAAAUACUGAUCUCUUACUUGAGCCGACCUGAUAGAAUAUGGUGCCUAGGCUUAUAGCUAUUGCGAUAAAGACAACAAGACGUAACCAGUAGUUGCUGAUGUCACGAUACAAUUGCAGGGAAGAUCUUUUUAUAAGAACCAUGCAUUGACUCGGAAAUAGAGCACGUGUUCUCCUAUUCCUCAUUGCGCUCAAAUCCUAGUACGUACAAUUCCAUAAAGUAAAACGUUAAAUCUUACAGUUUAGGUGGGUUCUGUGGUGGAUCACCUUGAUAAGUGGUUAUGGUUGAUCAAUACUUUAAAAUCACUUUGAAACUCUAAUGACUAUCGACAACCUCCAUUGAAAGUAGGAGUUCAUGGUCCCCCAUAUUAUAUUUGUUUCCCUGUAUUUAUCAAACCAACACUGAUCAAGUUUGUGUGUUAGCCUUGAGGGCAAGGAGACGAGAACUUCUACUUCCAGUAGGAGGCAUUUGUCGUUGAUGGAGUUUCGAACAGUUUUCAGGUACCAGUUCACACUGAGCCAUCUACCAAAGUGGUCUAGAGUAGAAUUUGUGCUCAUUGUUGGCUUUGAAAAGUACAUUAUAUUCUGUGUUUUUCUAGUCUAAGUCUAACUUAGGAAUGCACUAUGAUACUUACACAUUUACUUAUUUUUGUCACCUCAAUCUGAACUUGAAAUUUCAUUUCAGACCUUUUAUAAGAAUUUACAAGGACAUCAAUUGCUUUUUCAGUAAUAAAUCCUGUACCAAAGCCUUCUUCAAUAUCCUGAAAACAAAGUAAAUUAAUCCAUUAUGUUUCAGUUUUUCAACUGUUUUGACUCUUGUGCCUUUUAAUCUAGAAGACUUUGGAUAUAUAUAGCUGAAAAAAUAUUACUAUAUACAAAUUACAUUAGCGAUGAAAUAAAGAGGGAAAAAAAUGAAGCCCACCUCUAAUUCUGUAGUCUGGUGACAGAAAUUAGAGAUGUAUUCUAUUUUUCCAGUACUUCAUUUUUUUUUUGCUAAUUCUCUUUUAUUUUGUUGUAGCUUAUAAUACCUUUAAAAUCCUAAUGCUGUCAAAUAAAUACUAUUUAGACUCAAAGGUUUGCAUAAAUACCUGAUCAAAAUCUUUGUUUAUAAUCCUCAAGUAGUGAUCAGAAGGAUUAUAGAGAGUUGGACAAGGGAAACCAUUUGAAGCAAAAAACUGCACUGAAUCAAGUGUCACUAUAUGUAUUUUGUCAACUUGAAAUCAAUGUGCUACAAGGAUUUUAGUUCAUAACCUGAUUUGCUUCAGAAGCUGGACCAAAAUAAAUUGUCUCUCCAGAAGAUAGAAGACAGAGGUAAUCAAAAAGUUCAAAAACUUCACUACUCGGCUGAUGGAUGGAUGCAACAAUUGUUCUUUGAAUACCAUCCCUUAGACUUAAACUUGCAAUUCUACUCAUAACAUAGUAGGAAGCUGCACUAUCAAGUCCACUAGUUGGUUCAUCAAGGAAAAGAAGUCUAGGGCGUGUUAGCAUCUCUAUGCAAAUGCUUAGUCUCCUCUUUUGUCCUCCACUUAAGCCCUUAGAACCAUACCCUCCAACCCUUGUGUUAAUAGCAUCUUGCAGGCCCAUUUUUCUGAGUGUGAUAUCUGCUUGUCUCUUCUUCUCUGCUAUGGACAUUGAGUUUGGAAAUUGAAGUUGAGCUGAGUAGUAUAAAGUUUCUCCAGCUGUUAAAGCUGACAGCAUAGCAUCAUCUUGUGUUACAUAGCCCUGAAUUUUCAUGGUGGGAAAAAGAUGAAUCAAGUUCUUUUAGAAUGUGGAUACAGUAGUCUACUGCUAGAGUUCACAAUUGUGAAGCUUCAAUUCGAAAAGAUAACAGUUUUACCUUCAUUCCCUCAAUCAAGGGAGAGAAUCCACCAACUAGUGUCAUGAAAGUCAGGACUGACAUAAAAAAUGAAAGUAGCGAUCCUCUGGCCUGAAACAUGCCAUGUACGGGGUUACAAUUGUGUUUCAAAUUUAUAAAUCACAGGGAGUGCUGUGCUGAUCGAUGACUUGAGCCAACGGGAUGGAAGAUAGAGCCUAGGCUUAUAGCUAUUGCAAUAAAGACAACAAGACGUAACCAGUAGUUGCUGAUGUCACGAUACAGUUGCAGGGAAGAUCUUUUUAUAAGAAUCUUGCACUGAGUCAGAAAUGGAGCGUGGGUCCUCUUAUUCCUUAUUGCACCCAAAUCCUAAAGCCUUAUAAGCUUUUACAAGGAUACCAAUUGCUUCUUCAGUAAUAACUCCCUUACCAAAGCCUUCUUCAAUGUCCUGAAAACCAAAAGCUUUACCAAAAUAUACUGUCUCCCCAGAAGAAAGAAGACAGAGGUCUUGGAACAGUUCAAAAACUUCACUACAAGGCUGAUGGAUGGAUGCAACAAUUGUCCUUUGAAUACCAUCCCUUAGACUUAAAUUUGCAAUUCUACUCAUAACAUAGUAGGAAGCUGCACUAUCAAGUCCACUCGUUGGCUCAUCAAGGAAAAGAAGUCU